RNAcentral lists this ribosomal RNA (380 nucleotides) under uncultured eukaryote. RNAcentral describes it as "SSU rRNA". It matches the Rfam family "Eukaryotic small subunit ribosomal RNA", at positions 592 to 971 of the family's 1831-position model. The record is from RNAcentral.
CAAUAGCGUAUAUUAAAGUUGUUGCGGUUAAAAGACUCGUAGUUGGAUUUCUGCCGAGGACGACCGGUCCGCCCACUGGGUGAGUAUCUGGGACGACCUGGGCAUCCUUCCAGAGAAUGUGUCUGCUCUUGACUGAGUGGUGCAGUAUCUGGAACUUUUACUUUGAGGAAAUUAGAGUGUUUCAAGCAGGCAUACGCCUUGAAUACAUUAGCAUGGAAUAAUAAGAUAGGACCUCGGUUCUAUUUUGUUGGUUUCUUAGAGCUGAGGUAAUGAUUAAUAGGGAUAGUUGGGGGCGAUCCAUAUUUAAACUUGUCAGAGGUGAAAUUACUUGGAUUUGUUAAAGAUGAACUACUGCGAAAGCAUUUGCCAAGGAUGUUUUC